Long non-coding RNA from Carassius auratus (goldfish), 1172 nucleotides. RefSeq lists it as uncharacterized. The transcript is spliced from 3 exons. The record is from RefSeq and is a predicted model, not a curated record. Lineage: Eukaryota; Metazoa; Chordata; Actinopteri; Cypriniformes; Cyprinidae.
CAUUAAUCGGACAAUUCACACAAAAAUGUAUAUUCAAUGACAUGCAAAAUACUAUAGUAUGUAAAAUGAAUAAGCUAGUUUUCACACAUCGCUAGUGUAUCACAACGACCUCGUCAGGAAAGACUGCAGCAUGUGUAUGUAGAACGUGUCUAAUGCUGUAAGAAGGAAGCUCUAGAAUUAGACAUCUUCUAUCAAAUUAAAAAAAUCUCCCCAUAAGAGUCACCUAAGGAGAAUCACGUAAAGAGAGUCACCUAAGAGUGAUCCUCACAUCUAACCAUUUUCCAAAAGGAACUAUUUUUUUUUAAAUAGUCAGGAGAAAAAAAAAAAUACAAAAUCAGUGCCUGAACAAGAUAUCACAUGACCACAGUGGUGCUUUAUAACUGUGAAAACCAAAAAGCAGAACUUCAGGUCCAGUCCACUUGAAGCAACAACGUCCAAUAACCUUACGUUCAACUCCAGCAAUAUGGACUUUUCUGGCAAAUUUCAGACAGGAAUAGAAUUUGGAGAGAUGGAUCUGUAUUUGAUGUCAAUACAGAAAGAGAGUACAUGAAUACUGAGAGAUAUCGGACACCUCAAAACACAGUGAGGAUCAGAAACUACAGAGCAGCUGUAGUGUGUUUGGUUCUGCUGUGUGUUGUUCUGCUGUUCUGUUCUUCUUCAUAGUGCUGUGUUGGCAAAGACUUAACCCUCACAUGGUUUACCAGGCUAAGGACACAAAACAAGAAUGAGCACAACUGACAAUGGAAGGCGUCGAGCCAUUCACUGUAAGUUGAUUUAUCAGUGUUUUCAUGUAUCUCUUUUUAUGAAUCAUACUAUGUUUCUCAACAAUUGUCAUCCCAUGGUGUUGAAAUUAUAUUUGAUAAAUUGUCAGUGGACUGAAUUACACAGACCAAUACAAAAAAAAAAAAAAAAAAAUACAUUUUGAUAAGGAAUGCCCACUUCAAAAUAGUUUUUCAGUAACAAAAAAGAAAAAAAAAAAGAAAAAAACUAGUAGGUGAAAUUAGCCUGCUUUCUAAAUAUUUGUGAAUUAUUCAUGCCUUAUAUUUUGUAAUGAACCUCCACAUGAUCUAUUAGCCAUAAUGGCUUCAGGAGAGUUCAGAAUAAGUCAAAUAUAACAUUUUAUUUGUCAGGUAAGAAUGACAAUUACAUGAAUAAACAAUGACAAUCCAAGU